GUCGAGCGGCGGACGGGUGAGUAACACGUGAGAAUCUGCCCAUUAGUGGGGGAUAACCUGGGGAAACCCAGGCUAAUACCGCAUAAUCCCUACGGGGGAAAGCAGGGGACCUUCGGGCCUUGUGCUGAUGGAUGAGCUCGCGUCGGAUUAGCUUGUUGGUGAGGUAAUGGCUCACCAAGGCGACGAUCCGUAGCUGGUCUUAGAGGAUGAUCAGCCACACCGGGACUGAGACACGGCCCGGACUCCUACGGGAGGCAGCAGUGGGGAAUCUUGGACAAUGGGGGCAACCCUGAUCCAGCCAUGCCGCGUGUGUGAAGAAGGCCUUCGGGUUGUAAAGCACUUUCAGUAGGGAGGAAGGCUUAUCCUUAAUACGGAUGAGUACUUGACGUUACCUACAGAAGAAGCACCGGCUAAUUUCGUGCCAGCAGCCGCGGUAAUACGAAAGGUGCGAGCGUUAAUCGGAAUUACUGGGCGUAAAGCGCGCGUAGGCGGUUUGCUAAGUCAGAUGUGAAAGCCCCGGGCUCAACCUGGGAACUGCAUUUGAAACUGGCAGGCUAGAAUGCAGUAGAGGGAGGUGGAAUUUCCGGUGUAGCGGUGAAAUGCGUAGAGAUCGGAAGGAACACCAGUGGCGAAGGCGGCCUCCUGGACUGACAUUGACGCUGAGGUGCGAAAGCGUGGGGAGCAAACAGGAUUAGAUACCCUGGUAGUCCACGCCGUAAACGAUGUCUACUAGUCGUUGGGAAUCUUAGUAUUCUUGGUGACGAAGUUAACGCGAUAAGUAGACCGCCUGGGGGAGUACGGCCGCAAGGUUAAAACUCAAAUGAAUUGACGGGGGCCCGCACAAGCGGUGGAACCAGGUGGUUUAAUUCGAUGCAACGCGAAGAACCUUACCAGGCCUUGACAUCCUUGGAACUUUCUAGAAGAUAGAUUGGUGCCUUCGGGAGCCAAGUGACAGGUGCUGCAUGGCUGUCGUCAGCUCGUGUCCUG
RNAcentral lists this ribosomal RNA (987 nucleotides) under Alcanivorax borkumensis. Its description in RNAcentral is "bacterial SSU rRNA". It matches the Rfam family "Bacterial small subunit ribosomal RNA", at positions 90 to 1069 of the family's 1533-position model. The record is from RNAcentral. Lineage: Bacteria; Pseudomonadati; Pseudomonadota; Gammaproteobacteria; Oceanospirillales; Alcanivoracaceae.